UGCCAGCAGCCGCGGUAAUACGGAGGGUGCGAGCGUUGUUCGGAAUUAUUGGGCGUAAAGCGCGUGUAGGCGGUUUGUUAAGUCUGAUGUGAAAGCCCCAGGCUCAACCUGGGAAGUGCAUUGGAAACUGGCAGACUUGAAUACGGGAGAGGGCAGUGGAAUUCCUGGUGUAGGAGUGAAAUCCGUAGAUAUCAGGAGGAACACCGGUGGCGAAGGCGGCUGCCUGGACCGAUAUUGACGCUGAGACGCGAAAGCGUGGGUAGCAAACAGGAUUAGAUACCCUGGUAGUCCACGCCGUAAACGAUGAGUACUAGGUGUUGCGGGUAUUGACCCCUGCAGUGCCGCAGCUAACGCAUUAAGUACUCCGCCUGGGAAGUACGGUCGCAAGACUAAAACUUAAAGGAAUUGGCGGGGGA
This 416-nucleotide ribosomal RNA is filed under the name uncultured bacterium. RNAcentral's name for it is "bacterial SSU rRNA". It matches the Rfam family "Bacterial small subunit ribosomal RNA", at positions 506 to 920 of the family's 1533-position model. The record is from RNAcentral.